CUAAGGGCAUAUGGUGGAUGUCUUGGUGCUGGGAUCGAUAAAGGACGUGGUAAGCUGCGAUAAGCCUCGGGGAGGCGCAAACAGCCUUUGAUCCGGGGGUCUCCGAAUGGGGAAACCCAGCUCUGCUAAACCGGAGCUAUCCACAUCUGAAUACAUAGGGUGUGGAGGACAACCGGGGGAACUGAAACAUCUUAGUACCCCGAGGAAAAGAAAGCGAGUGCGAUUCCCUGAGUAGUGGCGAGCGAAAAGGGAACAGCCCAAACCAGUUGGGUGUUAAACCUGCAGGUGCUGCCCAACUGGGGUUGUAGGAGCUACCAGGCGCUGCUGCAGAAGUGCCAGGGAGUUAAAAAACUUAAGGGUAGUCGAAGGGCUUGGAAAAGUCCGCCAGAGAGGGUGAAAGCCCCGUAGACGAAAUCCUUAAGUCUCCCGGUAGUUUCCUGAGUACCACGGGACACGGGAAAUCCUGUGGGAAUCUGGCCCGACCACGGGUUAAGGCUAAAUACUCCCCAGCGACCGAUAGUGGACUAGUACCGUGAGGGAAAGAUGAAAAGAACCCCGUUGAGGGGAGUGAAAUAGAACCUGAAACCAUGUGCUUACAAGCAGUCGGAGCCCUCUAUCGGUUAUCCUUUUGGGUGCCGAUAUGGUGACGGCGUGCCUUUUGUAGAAUGAACCGGCGAGUUACGGUGCGUAGCGAGGUUAAGGCCGAUGAAUCGGCCGGAGUCGUAGCGAAAGCGAGUCCUAAUAGGGCGUUUAGUUGCGUGUCGUAGACCCGAAGCUGAGUGAUCUAUCCAUGGCCAGGGUGAAGUCUCAGUAAAACGGGAUGGAGGCCCGGACCCACUGGUGUUGAAAAACCAGGGGAUGAGCUGUGGAUAGGGGUGAAAGGCUAAUCAAACUCAGUGAUAGCUGGUUCUCCCCGAAAUAGCUUUAGGGCUAGCCUCAGGUGUUUAGCUUUGGGGGUAGAGCACUGGUUGGGCUAGGGGCCCUAACAGGUUACCAAACCCAGCCAAACUCCGAAUACCAAAGCUUGAGAGCUUGGGAGUCAGACUGUGGGGGAUAAGCUUCAUGGUCAAAAGGGGAACAGCCCAGACCACCAGCUAAGGUCCCAAAGUGUGAGCUAAGUGGAGAAGGAUGUGGAAUCGCCGAGACAGCCAGGAGGUUGGCUUAGAAGCAGCUAUCCUUUAAAGAGUGCGUAAUAGCUCACUGGUCAAGCGAUUCUGCGCCGAAAAUUUAACGGGGCUUAAGCUCAUCACCGAAGCUGUGGGCGAACUUCGUUCUCACUUGUUGAUUCAAUAUUCCGUUAAAUUUCGUGUGAGAAACGAUGGAAUCGUUUCGAACACCAAAUUAUCCCAAGGGGAUAAGCUUUGUGAAGCGAAUCCAAGGGGAUAAGCUUUGUGAAGCGAAUCCAAGGGGAUAAGCUUUGUGAAGGUGAGUUUAGAAGUGAGAACGAAGGGCGCGGUAGGGGAGCAUUCCCUGCGGGACGAAGUUGAGUCGCAAGGCUUGGUGGACUGUAGGGAAGAGAGAAUGCCGGUAUAAGUAGCGAGAUCCCGAUGAGAAAUCGGGACGCCGUAAGCCUAAGGUUUCCUGGGGAAGGUUAAUCCGCCCAGGGUUAGCCGGGACCUAAGCCGAGGCCGAAAGGCGUAGGCGAUGGACAGCUGGUUGAUAUUCCAGCGCCACCAGGUCGCGUUCCCUUCGGGGUGAAGCGAUGGGGUGACGCAGAAGGGUAGGCCAUCGCGGCGUUGGUCGUCCGCGUUUAAGCACGUAGGGGGCGAGGAUAGGCAAAUCCGUCCUCGUAUUAACCCUAAGGUGUGAUGACGAGCCAAUUUAGGCGAAGUGACUGAUCCCACACUGCCGAGAAAAACCUCUAGCAAGCGACUUGGUGCCCGUACCGUAAACCGACGCAGGUAGGCGGGUAGAGGAUACUCAGGCGAUCGAGCAAACCCUCGUUAAGGAACUCGGCAAAAUGACCCCGUAACUUUGGGAGAAGGGGUGCCUCAUUAGCGUGAACUCCUCACGGGGGGAGCGUGAAGAGGUUGCAGAGAAACAGCCCAGGCGACUGUUUACUAAAAACACAGGUCUCUGCUAAGCCGCGAGGCGAAGUAUAGGGGCUGACGCCUGCCCGGUGCCGGAAGGUUAAGGGGACGGGUUAUCUCCCGACUUUGUCGGGAGAGAAGCUCUAAACCUAAGCCCCGGUAAACGGCGGCCGUAACUAUAACGGUCCUAAGGUAGCGAAAUUCCUUGUCGGGUAAGUUCUAACUUGCCCCUUAUGGAAGAGAUUCCAUAAGCAAAACCGGCUCAUAUCGGUGAAGCCCUAUCGCAUUGUAAUAAGGUGAGGGUAAUACCGAGGGAAGCUGUCCCAAUUAAGUUGGGAUUAGCCCCGUAACGACUGACCUCUGAUAAAAUCGGGGGAGAUAGCAACUACUGCCAAUCGGCAAAUCUAAAGUUGCUAUAACACGCCGGUAUCUGAGUUUGGGGGUUUGAGAUGGACAUUGUAUCUUAUCUUUCCGGCUACGCUGAUGGUGAAGGAUGCUUUUGUGUAACCUUUAAUCGAAGCAAACGUCAUGCUUUAGGUUGGGACAUUAGAUCUAGCUUUUCUGUGAGUCAGAAUCAUGACCGCGCUGAGAUUUUAGGGUUGUUUAAAAGCCAGUUUGGUUGUGGAACAAUUAGACCUGACAGGUCAGAUAAGACGCUAAAAUAUGAAGUCAGAAGCAUUCGGGAACUAUUAGCAAAGAUCAUUCCGCAUUUUGAGCGAUAUCCGCUUAUCUCUAGCAAACGACAUGAUUUUGAGAUAUUUGCGGAGAUAUGCCGGAUGAUGAGUAGGAAAGAGCAUCUGAUGCCAAAGGGCUUUAAUAAGAUUGCUGAACUUGCAUCAGAAAUGAACACUUCAGGCAAGAAGAAAUACCCCCGAACCAAGAUAAAGGUAUAGUCUACACCUCUGGUAACAGGGGAGCAAUGUGAAGUUCCGACCUGCACGAAAGGCGUAACGACUUGGGCGCUGUCUCGACGAGGGGCUCGGCGAAAUUGUACUACUCGUGAAGAUGCGAGUUACCCGCAACUGGACGGAAAGACCCCGUGAACCUUUACUGUAGCUUGACAUUGGACUUUGCUGCGUCAUGUGCAGGAUAGGUGGGAGGCAGUGAAGCCCCGACGCCAGUCGGGGUGGAGCCGCCCUU
Molecule: ribosomal RNA, 3170 nt
Filed under: Candidatus Subteraquimicrobium carltonvillense
Lineage: Bacteria; Bacillati; Actinomycetota; Candidatus Aquicultoria; Candidatus Subteraquimicrobiales; Candidatus Subteraquimicrobiaceae
Description: bacterial LSU rRNA
Rfam family: Bacterial large subunit ribosomal RNA
Source: RNAcentral